UUAAGUUAUUAAGGGCGCACGGUGGAUGCCUUGGCACUAGAAGCCGAUGAAGGACGUUACUAACGACGAUAUGCUUUGGGGAGCUGUAAGUAAGCUUUGAUCCAGAGAUUUCCGAAUGGGGAAACCCAGCAUGAGUUAUGUCAUGUUAUCGAUAUGUGAAUACAUAGCAUAUCAGAAGGCACACCCGGAGAACUGAAACAUCUUAGUACCCGGAGGAAGAGAAAGAAAAUUCGAUUCCCUUAGUAGCGGCGAGCGAAACGGGAAGAGCCCAAACCAACAAGCUUGCUUGUUGGGGUUGUAGGACACUCUGUACGGAGUUACAAAGGACGACAUUAGACGAAUCAUCUGGAAAGAUGAAUCAAAGAAGGUAAUAAUCCUGUAGUCGAAAAUGUUGUCUCUCUUGAGUGGAUCCUGAGUACGACGGAGCACGUGAAAUUCCGUCGGAAUCUGGGAGGACCAUCUCCUAAGGCUAAAUACUCUCUAGUGACCGAUAGUGAACCAGUACCGUGAGGGAAAGGUGAAAAGCACCCCGGAAGGGGAGUGAAAUAGAACCUGAAACCGUGUGCUUACAAGUAGUCAGAGCCCGUUAAUGGGUGAUGGCGUGCCUUUUGUAGAAUGAACCGGCGAGUUGCGAUUUGAUGCAAGGUUAAGCAGUAAAUGUGGAGCCGUAGCGAAAGCGAGUCUGAAUAGGGCGUUUAGUAUUUGGUCGUAGACCCGAAACCAGGUGAUCUACCCUUGGUCAGGUUGAAGUUCAGGUAACACUGAAUGGAGGACCGAACCGACUUACGUUGAAAAGUGAGCGGAUGAACUGAGGGUAGCGGAGAAAUUCCAAUCGAACCUGGAGAUAGCUGGUUCUCUCCGAAAUAGCUUUAGGGCUAGCCUCAAGUGAUGAUUAUUGGAGGUAGAGCACUGUUUGGACGAGGGGCCCCUCUCGGGUUACCGAAUUCAGACAAACUCCGAAUGCCAAUUAAUUUAACUUGGGAGUCAGAACAUGGGUGAUAAGGUCCGUGUUCGAAAGGGAAACAGCCCAGACCACCAGCUAAGGUCCCAAAAUAUAUGUUAAGUGGAAAAGGAUGUGGCGUUGCCCAGACAACUAGGAUGUUGGCUUAGAAGCAGCCAUCAUUUAAAGAGUGCGUAAUAGCUCACUAGUCGAGUGACACUGCGCCGAAAAUGUACCGGGGCUAAACAUAUUACCGAAGCUGUGGAUUGUCCUUUGGACAAUGGUAGGAGAGCGUUCUAAGGGCGUUGAAGCAUGAUCGUAAGGACAUGUGGAGCGCUUAGAAGUGAGAAUGCCGGUGUGAGUAGCGAAAGACGGGUGAGAAUCCCGUCCACCGAUUGACUAAGGUUUCCAGAGGAAGGCUCGUCCGCUCUGGGUUAGUCGGGUCCUAAGCUGAGGCCGACAGGCGUAGGCGAUGGAUAACAGGUUGAUAUUCCUGUACCACCUAUAAUCGUUUUAAUCGAUGGGGGGACGCAGUAGGAUAGGCGAAGCGUGCGAUUGGAUUGCACGUCUAAGCAGUAAGGCUGAGUAUUAGGCAAAUCCGGUACUCGUUAAGGCUGAGCUGUGAUGGGGAGAAGACAUUGUGUCUUCGAGUCGUUGAUUUCACACUGCCGAGAAAAGCCUCUAGAUAGAAAAUAGGUGCCCGUACCGCAAACCGACACAGGUAGUCAAGAUGAGAAUUCUAAGGUGAGCGAGCGAACUCUCGUUAAGGAACUCGGCAAAAUGACCCCGUAACUUCGGGAGAAGGGGUGCUCUUUAGGGUUAACGCCCAGAAGAGCCGCAGUGAAUAGGCCCAAGCGACUGUUUAUCAAAAACACAGGUCUCUGCUAAACCGUAAGGUGAUGUAUAGGGGCUGACGCCUGCCCGGUGCUGGAAGGUUAAGAGGAGUGGUUAGCUUCUGCGAAGCUACGAAUCGAAGCCCCAGUAAACGGCGGCCGUAACUAUAACGGUCCUAAGGUAGCGAAAUUCCUUGUCGGGUAAGUUCCGACCCGCACGAAAGGCGUAACGAUUUGGGCACUGUCUCAACGAGAGACUCGGUGAAAUCAUAGUACCUGUGAAGAUGCAGGUUACCCGCGACAGGACGGAAAGACCCCGUGGAGCUUUACUGUAGCCUGAUAUUGAAAUUCGGCACAGCUUGUACAGGAUAGGUAGGAGCCUUUGAAACGUGAGCGCUAGCUUACGUGGAGGCGCUGGUGGGAUACUACCCUAGCUGUGUUGGCUUUCUAACCCGCACCACUUAUCGUGGUGGGAGACAGUGUCAGGCGGGCAGUUUGACUGGGGCGGUCGCCUCCUAAAAGGUAACGGAGGCGCUCAAAGGUUCCCUCAGAAUGGUUGGAAAUCAUUCAUAGAGUGUAAAGGCAUAAGGGAGCUUGACUGCGAGACCUACAAGUCGAGCAGGGUCGAAAGACGGACUUAGUGAUCCGGUGGUUCCGCAUGGAAGGGCCAUCGCUCAACGGAUAAAAGCUACCCCGGGGAUAACAGGCUUAUCUCCCCCAAGAGUUCACAUCGACGGGGAGGUUUGGCACCUCGAUGUCGGCUCAUCGCAUCCUGGGGCUGUAGUCGGUCCCAAGGGUUGGGCUGUUCGCCCAUUAAAGCGGUACGCGAGCUGGGUUCAGAACGUCGUGAGACAGUUCGGUCCCUAUCCGUCGUGGGCGUAGGAAAUUUGAGAGGAGCUGUCCUUAGUACGAGAGGACCGGGAUGGACAUACCUCUGGUGUACCAGUUGUCGUGCCAACGGCAUAGCUGGGUAGCUAUGUGUGGACGGGAUAAGUGCUGAAAGCAUCUAAGCAUGAAGCCCCCCUCAAGAUGAGAUUUCCCAACUUCGGUUAUAAGAUCCCUCAAAGAUGAUGAGGUUAAUAGGUUCGAGGUGGAAGCAUGGUGACAUGUGGAGCUGACGAAUACUAAUCGAUCGAAGACUUAAUCAA
RNAcentral lists this ribosomal RNA (2921 nucleotides) under Staphylococcus aureus. RNAcentral's name for it is "23S ribosomal RNA". It matches the Rfam family "Bacterial large subunit ribosomal RNA". Lineage: Bacteria; Bacillati; Bacillota; Bacilli; Caryophanales; Staphylococcaceae. The record is from RNAcentral.